Molecule: long non-coding RNA, 2000 nt
Filed under: Macaca fascicularis (crab-eating macaque)
Lineage: Eukaryota; Metazoa; Chordata; Mammalia; Primates; Cercopithecidae
Description: lncRNA (ENSMFAG00000055262.1)
Source: RNAcentral
UACCAAUACAUUCCAAAAUUGCCAGUUGCAGGCCAUAAAAUAUUUACAUUACAGAGUAAAUAAUGUAUGUUUAGUAAGAAAUGAUAAAAUAUUUACAGGUUUUCUAAAGAUACUGUAUGGGAUUUUUCCUCUGCCACAGUCAUUUUUCUUGAAGUAGGCAAAAUAGGCAACUUCAAGGGCUCUGAGAGUGAUGGGGAAUCAUCUACGAAGGAGAAGAAUGGUCCAAGGCAGUAUAUGGAAAAGUCUCCAUGAGGAAAAGAAAUGCCAGCUGAUCCCAGCUAUCAAGAUACAUAUUUCAUAUGGUUGAUGGUCUAGGGAGGCAUUAGCAAACAAUUUUGGUACCCUUACCAUUAAAUUGAAGGGUUGCUAGGCUCAGUUCACGUGAUGCAGUCAUUUGCCAAAGCUGUUCUGUGGGAGUGUUGUAAACCUCAGAGGAUGACUGUAUGACCUCCCAAGUUUCUAAAUAAAUGCCUUUUCAAAACCUCCCCUACACAUUCACUGACCCUGAACAUGAUACACAGAACAAAAUCACAGUGUCACUAAAUCAUCACUGCACCUGUUUGGGAAGGAGCCUGAAAAAGCUCUUAACAAAGGUUUUCAACAGAAUCUCCUGGGAGAGUCUUACAAACAGAGAUUCCCAGGUCCCCCAACCUCCUAAGAAAUUCUGAUAGGACUAAUCUAGUGCGGGCCUGGGCAAUCUAUUUUUGAAAAACUUUCCAAGUGGUGAUCAUCCAAGUUUGGGAACUGUUGUAGGUUUAACAAUGGUCUCCAAAGAUAUCUGUGUUCUAAUUCCUGGAAGCUGUGAAUGGCAAAAUACCUAACAUGGCAAAAGGGAGGUUGCAGAUGUGAUUACAUGAAGAAUCUUGGGAUGGAGGGGUUAUCCUGGAUUAUGUGGGUAGGCCCUAAAUGUAAUCAAAGUGUACAAGAGGGAGGCAGAGAAAGAUUUGACUGUGGAAGAAGAAGGUAAAGUGAUGAUAGAUGCAGGAUGCUAUGAAGUUGACUUUGAAGAGGGAGGAAGAGCCCAUGAGCCAACGGAUAUAGGUGGACUUGAAAGUAGGAAAAUGCAAGGAAAAGGAUUCACUUCCAGAGCCUCCAGAAGGAAGCAGCCCUGCUGAUACUUUGAAGUCAGCCCAGUGAAACUGAUUUUGAACUUCUGACCUUUAGAACUGUAAGAGAAUAAAUGUGUCUUGUUUUAAGCCCCUAAGUGUGUAGCAGUUUGUGACAGCAACAAUAGGAAUCUAAGACAAGAACCAUUGCCAAAACCAUGUCAAUUUUAAUAUCCCUUUAUUGCUAAACACAGUUCUUCAAGCCAGAACUUUAAGGCCCUAGAAUUUAACCUGUUCCCAACUAUGGAGGGACACAAAACCAGCAUUGCCUGCUGGAAAUUUUGCUGCCCCCUCUUGCCAUUUGUGUUGAGCACUUCCCCUCCGUGUUACACUCCCUUGGGAAUGCCCCACAGCUACCAGAAGAGGCAGGGCAGCAGUGUGGGACCAUGGCCAAUAACUGCAUCCCUCAAGUUUGAACAUCAAGCCACAGAAUUCAUCAUAUCCCUCCUUUGUGAUCAGCAUUCUGCUAGCCACUGUGGGGAAUUUGGAGAAUCAGAAGAGGCCAUUGCCCUCUCUCCUGCUGAGUACUGACAUUGCACAGUGAUUACAAACACUUAGAUUGCAUUUCCAGCAAUAUCAAAGCUGAGGCUUCCCUGGCUACAAAGGAUAUUGUCUCAUCUUGGGACAGGAUAAAUACAUCAUUGCAGUUUAAGGGAAGAAGAUGAUGUCAAAGCAUGGGCUUACCCGUGACACUCUGACCAAAAGACCUGGAAAUCAAAUCAUUUUCCUGUAGUUUUAGGUUCUCAAUAAGCUGAGGGAUAUACUCAUGGUGCCUGUAUUCCAAGGUGGGUGGGAUAUAUGAGUAGCGGGGGGUUGGGGGUUGGGAAUCUCUAUAUUUUAUCAGCAUUUGCUCCUAUCAGAACUCCUCAUGGUGAAAAAAAAGAAAAAAAAAAA